CAAAAACAUGUCUUUUUGAUAAUGAUUUAAGGUCGGGCCUGCCCAAUGAUUUUUAAAUGGCCGCAGUAUUUUGACUGUGCAAAGGUAGCAUAAUCAUUAGUUUCCUAAUUAGGAGCUGGUAUGAAUGGUUUGAUGAGAGGCUGACUGUCUCUGUCUAGUUUGCUUAGAAUUUUAUUUUUGAGUAAGAAAGCUUAAAUUUCAUAUAAAGACGAGAAGACCCUAUAGAGUUUAAUAGUUUAUUAAUUAGGUUUUAGUAGGGUUUUUUGUUUUCUGGUUAAUUUACUAUUUCGUUGGGGUGAUGUGAAAGUUAGAGUAACCUUUCAUUAUUUAAACAUUAAUUAGUGGCUUCUUGAUCCUUAGUUUUGGAUUAUAAGAUCAAAUUACCUUAGGGAUAACAGCGUGAUUUUUCCUGAAAGUUCUUAUUGAUGGGGAAGUUUGCGACCUCGAUGUUGGAUUAAAAUUUACUUUUGG
RNAcentral lists this ribosomal RNA (471 nucleotides) under Isopus championi. RNAcentral's name for it is "partial 16S ribosomal RNA". It matches the Rfam family "Bacterial large subunit ribosomal RNA", at positions 1808 to 2553 of the family's 2925-position model. Lineage: Eukaryota; Metazoa; Arthropoda; Insecta; Coleoptera; Tenebrionidae. The record is from RNAcentral.